Molecule: ribosomal RNA, 393 nt
Filed under: uncultured bacterium
Lineage: Bacteria
Description: bacterial SSU rRNA
Rfam family: Bacterial small subunit ribosomal RNA
Source: RNAcentral
GACGAACGCUGGCGGCGUGCUUAACACAUGCAAGUCGAGCGGUAAGGCCCUUUCGGGGGUACACGAGCGGCGAACGGGUGAGUAACACGUGGGUGACCUGCCCUCAGCUCUGGGAUAAGCCUGGGAAACCGGGUCUAAUACCGGAUAUGACUCCAUGACGCAUGUUGUGGGGUGGAAAGCCUUGUGCGGCUGAGGAUGGGCCCGCGGCCUAUCAGCUUGUUGGUGGGGUGAUGGCCUACCAAGGCGACGACGGGUAGCCGGCCUGAGAGGGCGACCGGCCACACUGGGACUGAGACACGGCCCAGACUCCUACGGGAGGGCAGCAGUGGGGAAUCUUGCGCAAUGGGCGAAAGCCUGACGCAGCGACGCCGCGUGAGGGAUGACGGCCUGUGU